This 301-nucleotide ribosomal RNA is filed under the name uncultured bacterium. RNAcentral describes it as "partial 16S ribosomal RNA". It matches the Rfam family "Bacterial small subunit ribosomal RNA", at positions 509 to 807 of the family's 1533-position model. The record is from RNAcentral.
CAGUCGCCGCGGUAAUACGUAGGGUGCGAGCGUUAAUCGGAAUUACUGGGCGUAAAGCGUGCGCAGGCGGUUUUGUAAGACAGAGGUGAAAUCCCCGGGCUCAACCUGGGAACUGCCUUUGUGACUGCAAGGCUAGAGUACGGCAGAGGGGGAUGGAAUUCCGCGUGUAGCAGUGAAAUGCGUAGAUAUGCGGAGGAACACCGAUGGCGAAGGCAAUCCCCUGGGCCUGUACUGACGCUCAUGCACGAAAGCGUGGGGAGCAAACAGGAUUAGAUACCCCCGUAGUCCCUGUCUCUUAUAC